This 467-nucleotide ribosomal RNA is filed under the name uncultured Syntrophobacteraceae bacterium. Its description in RNAcentral is "bacterial SSU rRNA". It matches the Rfam family "Bacterial small subunit ribosomal RNA", at positions 337 to 795 of the family's 1533-position model. Lineage: Bacteria; Pseudomonadati; Thermodesulfobacteriota; Syntrophobacteria; Syntrophobacterales; Syntrophobacteraceae. The record is from RNAcentral.
UCCUACGGGUGGCAGCAGUGAGGAAUUUUGCGCAAUGGGGGCAACCCUGACGCAGCAACGCCGCGUGGGUGAAGAAGGCCUUCGGGUCGUAAAACCCUGUCGAGUGGGAAGAAAGGCCUCAAGGCGAAUAGUCUUGGGGUUUGACGGUACCACUAAAGGAAGCACCGGCUAACUCCGUGCCAGCAGCCGCGGUAAUACGGAGGGUGCGAGCGUUAUUCGGAAUUACUGGGCGUAAAGGGCGCGUAGGCGGCCGAGCUUGUCCGAUGUGAAAGCCCGGGGCUUAACCUCGGAAGUGCAUGGGAAACGGUUCGGCUUGAGUGUCGGAGAGGGUGGGGGAAUUCCCGGUGUAGAGGUGAAAUUCGUAGAGAUCGGGAGGAAUACCAGUGGCGAAGGCGCCCACCUGGACGAUGACUGACGCUGAGGCGCGAAAGCGUGGGGAGCAAACAGGAUUAGAUACCCUGGUAGUC